CCUACGGGAGGCAGCAGUGAGGAAUAUUGGUCAAUGGCCGGAAGGCUGAACCAGCCAAGCCGCGUGAAGGACGAUGGUGCCAAGCAUUUUAAACUUCUUUUGUCAAGGGACAAAAUCAGGCUCGAGAGCCUGACCGAGGGUACUUGAAGAAAAAGCAUCGGAUAACUCCGUGCCAGCAGCCGCGGUAAUACGGAGGGUGCGAGCGUUAUCCGGAUUUAUGGGGUUUAAAGGGUGCGUAGCGGGGCUGUUAAGUCAGCGGUAAAAGCCCGGGGCUCAACCCCGACGAGCCGUUGAGACUGGCUGUCUUGAGAUGUCGAGCGGUGUGCGGAAUGCGCGGUGUAGCGGUGAAAUGCUUAGAGAUGGCGCAGAACUCCGAUUGCGAAGGCAGCAUACCGGCGGCGAUCUGACGCUGAGGCACGAAAGCGUGGGUAUCGAACAGGAUUAGAUACCCGUGUAGUC
RNAcentral lists this ribosomal RNA (459 nucleotides) under uncultured bacterium. Its description in RNAcentral is "partial 16S ribosomal RNA". It matches the Rfam family "Bacterial small subunit ribosomal RNA", at positions 338 to 795 of the family's 1533-position model. The record is from RNAcentral.